Vespa mandarinia (Asian giant hornet) is the source of this 2386-nucleotide long non-coding RNA. RefSeq lists it as uncharacterized. Lineage: Eukaryota; Metazoa; Arthropoda; Insecta; Hymenoptera; Vespidae. The record is from RefSeq and is a predicted model, not a curated record.
UUACUAUUGCUAAAUAUAAAAAGUGUCAACAUGUGGGUUUAAUCGAAAGAAAGAAUAAUAGCAAUUAAAUGAUACCCUUGUCUCUCUAAGUAUUAGUGACGAUUAUACGAAAAGCAAGUUAAUAAUGAUGAUAAUAAUAAUAAUGAUAAUAAUAAUAAUAAUAAUAAUAAUAAUAAUAAGGAACGAUAUAGAAGAAGCAAUUAUAUGGGUUUCGGCUCUCGGAAAAGCUGUACUGUGGCAUGCCGACAAAUGAAGGGACAAAGGGCCGCUUUAUUUCGGUUCUUGCGACCUCGACAUUAACGAGAAGACGACGGUGGAACGUUUGAAAAGGGCUAAAGAGGGCGAAAUUUUCAAAGAAAAGAAGGACUUUCUUGUUAAAUUAUUUCUUUAUCUCUCUUUUCUUUUUUUUUCAUGCAUCUUAUAGUAUAGAAAAAGCUUAUCCACCUGUUCUUCUUUUCAUAAGAAUGAGAAAAAUAAAGUUAAAGAAGAAGAAGAAGAAGAAGAAGAUGAAGAAAAAAAGAAGUUAGAAUACAAUCCAUUUGGGAAAUCGAAAGGAGCGUUCGGACGUUGCGUGAUAUUUCUGUGGAAUCAAGUUUCAGAGAGUAGUAUCUUGAAGCUAUCGCAAUUUUUAUUCCACCAUGGGUUAUGAGAAAUACAGGAAGUUGUGAGUUAUCACACUUGUAAGAGAAAAAAGGAUAGGAGGAGUUUGUGUGUGUGUGUGAGAGAGAGAGAGAGAGAGAGAGAGAAAAGCAUAAAAUAGGAAAAUAAAUUCAAAUAGUUCUUUUUAAAACGCUUCGAAGCUCUCGUAAUGCCAAGAGAAACUCUUGCUGAGAAUACUGUCGUUGAGUUUAAUCGUGGAUGAAUCGAUUCGGAACAUUCAGAGGAGCAAGGAUGGUGGAUGGACCAAAAGGAUAGAAAGAGAGAGAGAAGGAGAGAGAGAGAGAGAAGUUUCACGGCACAACGACCGUUCCUAAUUAGUUCCUUGUAUUACUUAACCCGACUCGACGUUGGACACAGCGAGAAAUUGUAUGAGUUUCGAAGCGUUGCACAGUUCAACCUUGACUAAUUUGGAUCGUUUGCGUUCUAGCAUGCGCAUUCACCUAAGUGCGGGCCUCGAUACGCUUCUUCCCUUUCCGUCUUGUUAUUCUCUAUCUAUUCAUCGUUGUCUUUCAGACCAGAUGUGCAUAGAAUUUCAUCCAAGUAUUCAUCGAGGAAAACUAAGAAUCAUAUUGAAAGUAAAUUAAUGGUACAUAUCUUAGUAUGAAACUUUAAGGAAAGCUUGUUAUUUCGUCGGUAACAAAAAGAGAUUCGUCAUCCAUCGGAAGUUUGGUCGGUCCGUAGGGAGUCCCUUAGACUUAGCAACGAUUUUGAUGGAACGUUUUGGCGAGCAGGGAACAGCAGUGAUAGCUUUUUGACCACUCCUUCGUUGUACUUCGACUUCUCUUCCGGUCGUCAGAGAAGAAAAAGAAAUAAGAGAAUAAAAGAGAUAAUAAGGCAGGAAGUAUAAAGAGCUUUGUGAGAAGAAAAAGACAAGGAGCAAGAGAGAGAGAGGGAGAGAGAAGAAAUCAGAGAUAGGGAGGAAAAAAAUAUCCGUUCUAACGUCGUCGUAUCUUUUACGAGGCAGCCUUCUGAUAUCGUUCGUAGGAAGACGAUCGUGUUUGCGACACGACUCGACGACUCAUUGAAAAGCUAUAACGCUACUUCUAUCUCUAUUCUUGUCUCUUUCUCUCUCACUCUCCAUCUCCCUCUCUCUCUCUUCUAAACGUUUCUCUCAACUACAGGUCAUCUCUUUCAUACAGUCCUUCGUUUCGAAGAGUUAACCCACAACGUGCACGUGCUAGAAAGGAGAACACGUGUGUCGACUCUUUCGCCUUCUACGAGGACCCUGGAGCGGUCACGUUUCAAGCGUUAUUAAACGCUUCUUAUCCAACGCGACCUUGAUAUCGAUCCCUUCCAGCUCCCUUCCUCCCUCGAUCGUUGCAACGAAUCGAGAGAGCAUACGACGUGCAUAGGAUUUCUUAUGAAUGUUUGAUCUAUCAGCUGAAUCGACUGAUGCACGUUAUUCUUGUUAGAUGAUACAUUUGAAAUGUUUCUUCUUGAUAAAAGAAUGUUGAAGUAAAUCGUUUGAUUUUUUACUUAGUUCAUGUCUUUAUAAAAUAAAGAUUUUAGAGAAGGUUUCGUUCAACAUUUAUAUUUAUUAUUUUCAUUUUAUUAUAUCAACGAAUUAGUCGAAUCAAUUAUAUCAAAAUUUUAUACACAGUUUUAUUGUCUUAAUUAUGGAAAACUAUUCAGAACUAUUUAUUGUUAAGUCUAAUAAGUUCAAUUUUAAACAGCAUGCAAAUACUUUUAUCAUGUAUUGUAGAUUUAUGCAAAAGAGAUUUUAAAA